ACUUUCCUCAGCUGGGCAGGGGAGAGAAAAUGCAAUGGAAGGCUCACAGGCUGAGGCAAAACCAGGAAGACAUCACCCACCAAUUACCAUCAUGAGUAAAGUGAACUGAGUUGGGGAAAAAGAAGUUUAAUUUAUUACUUGUACUGCUCCAGCCUGGGUCCCCCAUUGGGUCACAAGUCCUCCCAGCAAACCUGCUCCAGCGUGGGCUCCUCUCUGCACAGCACCACAGUUCCUGCCAGGAGCCUGGUACAGUGGGGGCUUUCUGCAGGAUCACAGCUUCCUUUGGGAAUCCAGCUGCUCCACUUUGAGCUCCUSCUCCAGACAAGUUUGAUUAAAAGAUCAGUCUCAGCUCUGGAGAUGAAUGUUUUCAAAGAUGAAGCCACAUCAAAUAUGUCAGCUUAUUUCAAAACCAGCAUGAAAAAAUUGAAGGAUAGGAAGAAAUGGAUAGCUGAGCCAGAGGUUGAGGCCGAUCCCUACCAAACAUCUACUGUGGUCAUCCUCAGACAAUGCCAGCAGAUGUGCCAGUAGAAAAAGCACCUGCUUUGACUGGACAAGAGGAUGGCACCUUUGAACAAUUUUAUUCUUAAGAAAAUCAGAGAUACUUAAAGGGUAAGAUAUAGUGGUAUGGUGAKUUGUGACUAAGG
Malurus melanocephalus (red-backed fairy wren) is the source of this 644-nucleotide long non-coding RNA. RefSeq lists it as uncharacterized. The record is from RefSeq and is a predicted model, not a curated record. Lineage: Eukaryota; Metazoa; Chordata; Aves; Passeriformes; Maluridae. The transcript is spliced from 3 exons.